This 301-nucleotide ribosomal RNA is filed under the name uncultured bacterium. RNAcentral's name for it is "partial 16S ribosomal RNA". It matches the Rfam family "Bacterial small subunit ribosomal RNA", at positions 509 to 808 of the family's 1533-position model. The record is from RNAcentral.
CAGUGCCGCGGUAAUACAGAGGGUGCGAGCGUUAAUCGGAUUUACUGGGCGUAAAGCGUGCGUAGGCGGCUUCUUAAGUCGGAUGUGAAAUCCCUGAGCUUAACUUAGGAAUUGCAUUCGAUACUGGGAAGCUAGAGUAUGGGAGAGGAUGGUAGAAUUCCAGGUGUAGCGGUGAAAUGCGUAGAGAUCUGGAGGAAUACCGAUGGCGAAGGCAGCCAUCUGGCCUAAUACUGACGCUGAGGUACGAAAGCAUGGGGAGCAAACAGGAUUAGAUACCCCCGUAGUCCCUGUCUCUUAUACA